Molecule: long non-coding RNA, 790 nt
Filed under: Helianthus annuus (common sunflower)
Lineage: Eukaryota; Viridiplantae; Streptophyta; Magnoliopsida; Asterales; Asteraceae
Description: hypothetical non coding rna
Source: RNAcentral
CCAAAAAAAAUGUAACAUACAAAUUUUCAACAUUUUUUUUUUAAAAAUAGUAAGCAUUUUUUUACAUUUUUUUUCAUAAAUAGGUCCGUGUACAUUUAUAUUACAUUCCCUAUUUUUUUUAGAAAAAAAUAAAAAUGUUACAUAGGGUUUAUUUGGGUUUUCUCAACUCACAUGGGUUUUCGAUUUAUCUUUCCCCAUAUAUAUAUAUAUAUAUAUAUAUAACUUUCUACUUUUUAUUAAUAAAUUUACAAGUUUAGGGAUAACUUUAUACUUUUUAUUAGUAAAUUUAAAAGUUAGGAACCAUAUGUAAACUAGUGAAAGAUAGAGGGGAUUAAAUGUUAAAAUACCUAAACUUAAAUGUUAAAAUAGGCUAUAAUUAAAUUUUGGGCUUUAAACAAUGGGCUAGGCUUCAAAAUUUGGGUUUAUUGGGUCAAAAACCAUGAGACCGAUUAGUCCGAUUUUCUUCGACUUUGACCGAUUUUCACCGAAUUUGACCGAUUUUGACCAUAACCGAUUUUUUUGACCGACUAGCAUAAAUUUAGGCAGUAACCCACCGACUAGCGCCUAGGCGCUGGCCGAUUUCUGCAACAUUGAUAAUAAAUAAUAUUUGAAAAUUCUUAGGUGUUUGUUUAUUAUAUUUGGCUUUUAAUUUUUUCUACAUUUUUUUUAUUUUUAAUAGUAUUUUAUCUAUUAUUUAUUGGAUUUUUCAAUGAUAAAUAGUAAUUAUAAUUCUCAGGCCAAGUCUGUACCACAUGUCAUAGUCUGGCUCAUGCCACUUGGUGACAGAUGA